AUGUUCGACGCCAAGCACAACCUCUCGUCAAGCAUCUCCAAACUCCCUCCGCACACCAGCUUCAACCAAUUUCCGUACAAGCUUUCCUUCGCCCUGUUCGCCUCUGUUUCGCAAGGAGCUAGCAACACCGCGAUAUCUCCUAUUCGUUCAGCUUCGCCAUGUCGUUUGAGCUCCAUUUCGGAUGAUUCUCACGGCCCGACGUCAAAAAUUUUGUCAUCUACAAAUUUGCUUCAAGACUCGAGUUCGGAUUAUGCUCUGAAAAUUACGCGCAACCAAAAAAGAGAGGAAAAUGUGAAUCCAAAAACAUGUUUUUUCUUUUCCAAAUGA
Molecule: non-coding RNA, 327 nt
Organism: Vicia faba (fava bean)
Lineage: Eukaryota; Viridiplantae; Streptophyta; Magnoliopsida; Fabales; Fabaceae
Source: the annotation of a GenBank genome assembly